RNAcentral lists this ribosomal RNA (486 nucleotides) under uncultured bacterium. RNAcentral's name for it is "partial 16S ribosomal RNA". It matches the Rfam family "Bacterial small subunit ribosomal RNA", at positions 30 to 507 of the family's 1533-position model. The record is from RNAcentral.
AUUGAACGCUGGCGGCAUGCCUUACACAUGCAAGUCGAACGGCAGCACGGGUGCUUGCCCCUGGUGGCGAGUGGCGAACGGGUGAGCAAUACAUCGGAACAUGUCCUGUAGUGGGGGAUAGCCCGGCGAAAGCCGGAUUAAUACCGCAUACGAUCUACGGAUGAAAGCGGGGGACCUUCGGGCCUCGCGCUAUAGGGUUGGCCGAUGGCUGAUUAGCUAGUUGGUGGGGUAAAGGCCUACCAAGGCGACGAUCAGUAGCUGGUCUGAGAGGGCGACCAGCCACACUGGAACUGAGACACGGCCCAGACUCCUACGGGAGGCAGCAGUGGGGAAUUUUGGACAAUGGGCGAAAGCCUGAUCCAGCAAUGCCGCGUGUGUGAAGAAGGCCUUCGGGUUGUAAAACACUUUUGUCCGGAAAGAAAACCUUGGCCCUAAUACGGUCGGGGGAUGACGGUACCGGAAGAAUAAGCACCGGCUAACUACGUG